Molecule: ribosomal RNA, 1396 nt
Filed under: bacterium NLAE-zl-P366
Lineage: Bacteria
Description: 16S ribosomal RNA
Rfam family: Bacterial small subunit ribosomal RNA
Source: RNAcentral
AGUCGAGGGGCAGCAUUUCAGUUUGCUUGCAAACUGGAGAUGGCGACCGGCGCUCGGGUGAGUAACACGUAUCCAACCUGCCGAUAACUCGGGGAUAGCCUUUCGAAAGAAAGAUUAAUACCCGAUGGNAUAAUCAGACCGCAUGGUCUNAUUAUUAAAGAAUUUCGGUUAUCGAUGGGGAUGCGUUCCAUUAGGCAGUUGGUGAGGUAACGGCUCACCAAACCUUCGAUGGAUAGGGGUUCUGAGAGGAAGGUCCCCCACAUUGGAACUGAGACACGGUCCAAACUCCUACGGGAGGCAGCAGUGAGGAAUAUUGGUCAAUGGGCGCAGGCCUGAACCAGCCAAGUAGCGUGAAGGAUGACUGCCCUAUGGGUUGUAAACUUCUUUUAUAUGGGAAUAAAGUUUUCCACGUGUGGAAUUUUGUAUGUACCAUAUGAAUAAGGAUCGGCUAACUCCGUGCCAGCAGCCGCGGUAAUACGGAGGAUCCGAGCGUUAUCCGGAUUUAUUGGGUUUAAAGGGAGCGUAGGUGGACAGUUAAGUCAGUUGUGAAAGUUUGCGGCUCAACCGUAAAAUUGCAGUUGAUACUGGCUGUCUUGAGUACAGUAGAGGUGGGCGGAAUUCGUGGUGUAGCGGUGAAAUGCUUAGAUAUCACGAAGAACUCCGAUUGCGAAGGCAGCUCACUGGACUGCAACUGACACUGAUGCUCGAAAGUGUGGGUAUCAAACAGGAUUAGAUACCCUGGUAGUCCACACAGUAAACGAUGAAUACUCGCUGUUUGCGAUAUACAGUAAGCGGCCAAGCGAAAGCAUUAAGUAUUCCACCUGGGGAGUACGCCGGCAACGGUGAAACUCAAAGGAAUUGACGGGGGCCCGCACAAGCGGAGGAACAUGUGGUUUAAUUCGAUGAUACGCGAGGAACCUUACCCGGCCUUAAAUUGCAUUUGAAUANUNUGGAAACAGNNUAGCCGNAAGGCAAAUGUGAAGGUGCUGCAUGGUUGUCGUCAGCUCGUGCCGUGAGGUGUCGGCUUAAGUGCCAUAACGAGCGCAACCCUUAUCUUUAGUUACUAACAGGUCAUGCUGAGGACUCUAGAGAGACUGCCGUCGUAAGAUGUGAGGAAGGUGGGGAUGACGUCAAAUCAGCACGGCCCUUACGUCCGGGGCUACACACGUGUUACAAUGGGGGGUACAGAAGGCAGCUACCUGGUGACAGGAUGCUAAUCCCAAAAGCCUCUCUCAGUUCGGAUCGAAGUCUGCAACCCGACUUCGUGAAGCUGGAUUCGCUAGUAAUCGCGCAUCAGCCAUGGCGCGGUGAAUACGUUCCCGGGCCUUGUACACACCGCCCGUCAAGCCAUGAAAGCCGGGGGUACCUGAAGUACGAACCGCAAGGAGCUCCUAGG